UAAUCAGCUCUUUUCAGAGCAACCAAUACAUUUUUACAUUUAAUAU
Non-coding RNA from Trachymyrmex septentrionalis, 46 nucleotides. NCBI's taxonomy places the organism in Eukaryota, Metazoa, Arthropoda, Insecta, Hymenoptera, Formicidae. The record is from Rfam.